UACGGGGGGGGCAAGCGUUGUUCGGAAUUACUGGGCGUAAAGGGCUCGUAGGCGGCCAACUAAGUCAGACGUGAAGUCCCUCGGCUUAACCGGGGAACUGCAUCUGAUACUGGAUGGCUUGAGAUUGGGAGAGGGAUGCGGAAUUCCAGGUGUAGCGGUGAAAUGCGUAGAUAUCUGGAGGAACACCGGUGGCGAAGGCGGCAUCCUGGACCAACACUGACGCUGAGGAGCGAAAGCCAGGGGAGCAAACGGG
RNAcentral lists this ribosomal RNA (253 nucleotides) under uncultured bacterium. RNAcentral's name for it is "partial 16S ribosomal RNA". It matches the Rfam family "Bacterial small subunit ribosomal RNA", at positions 524 to 776 of the family's 1533-position model. The record is from RNAcentral.